CACACCGGUGACAAGAUCUGCCUCGCACACUCGUGUCUGCCUUGUGGGAGCUAGCCAAGCUAUUCUGCAACAGGCAACCCAUAUCAGAUUUGGGUUGACCUGACUCUUGGCUUUGCUCUGCUCUGGGGUUUGUACUAGGAGCUAGCCAAAGGCAGAGGGGAAAGGUGGGAUAUUUUUGCAUAGUUAUACAACUUAAAAGAAGACCUAAUAAAGUAAGAAAUCGUGUACAUAAAUGGUAUAAACUAGUGCAUUUUCCCCCUUUUUUUCCUUGCUCUGUUCAGGAGCUAUUUGGCUUUGUGUGUCCUGAGCUCGUGCAUGUGUCCAACACCGCCUGGCUGAAGUCUCCCUGGGCUCUGUGUUUGUCUUGUAGCACGACAGGGUGGUGGCUCCCUCCGAGUCCCUCUGGCUCUGCUUACAGAGCCACGUGAGACAACGAUAAUUUUUCCCUCAUGCCUUCAUGAUGCGAAGGAAAUGCUGCUGGCCACUUCUCCUUGCAACCCAUUUAACUGACUUUUAAUGACGAACAGACCUUCCACUGGCAGUAAUUAAUGCUCACUUAGCCUUUAGCACUCGGGGACUCAACAGCCUAGGAAGAGUUCAUGUCCGAGAGCACCAACCCAGUGCACCUGGGCAGGAUGGUGGGAGUAACCACAGAGGCCACAAAGCUGCAUUUUCUUCAUGUUGCUGAAGCAAGAAAUCCAAAGGAAGCAACUACUAUCCAAGUACUGCAGCUAAUGGCCCAUGUUAACAAGCGGUCCUGGCAGAAGAAAUUUAGAUUGCCCUUGCUUUCCCAGGAAGACUUGAGUGGUGAAUGA
Molecule: long non-coding RNA, 815 nt
Filed under: Anas platyrhynchos platyrhynchos (common mallard)
Lineage: Eukaryota; Metazoa; Chordata; Aves; Anseriformes; Anatidae
Description: lncRNA (ENSAPLG00000030108.1)
Source: RNAcentral